This 564-nucleotide ribosomal RNA is filed under the name Salmonella enterica. RNAcentral describes it as "partial 23S ribosomal RNA". It matches the Rfam family "Bacterial large subunit ribosomal RNA", at positions 1 to 605 of the family's 2925-position model. RNAcentral also lists the same sequence under 1 other name. Lineage: Bacteria; Pseudomonadati; Pseudomonadota; Gammaproteobacteria; Enterobacterales; Enterobacteriaceae. The record is from RNAcentral.
GGUUAAGCGACUAAGCGUACACGGUGGAUGCCCUGGCAGUCAGAGGCGAUGAAGGGCGUGCUAAUCUGCGAUAAGCGCCGGUAAGGUGAUAUGAACCGUUAUAACCGGCGAUACCCGAAUGGGGAAACCCAGUGUGACUCGUCACACUAUCAUUAACUGAAUCCAUAGGUUAAUGAGGCGAACCGGGGGAACUGAAACAUCUAAGUACCCCGAGGAAAAGAAAUCAACCGAGAUUCCCCCAGUAGCGGCGAGCGAACGGGGAGGAGCCCAGAGCCUGAAUCAGCAUGUGUGUUAGUGGAAGCGUCUGGAAAGGCGCGCGAUACAGGGUGACAGCCCCGUACACAAAAGCGCAUGUGCUGUGAGCUCGAUGAGUAGGGCGGGACACGUGGUAUCCUGUCUGAAUAUGGGGGGACCAUCCUCCAAGGCUAAAUACUCCUGACUGACCGAUAGUGAACCAGUACCGUGAGGGAAAGGCGAAAAGAACCCCGGCGAGGGGAGUGAAAAAGAACCUGAAACCGUGUACGUACAAGCAGUGGGAGCACCCUUUGGGUGUGACUGCGUACC